UGAAAACUAUUAUUGUGAAGGCCACAGGUGGUGGACCAUACAAAUAUGCAGACUUAUUUAAGGAAAGGCUAGGGAUAACUCUUGACAAGGAAGAUGAAAUGGAUUGUCUUGUCGCAGGAGCCAAUUUUCUUCUCGAGGUAGUUGACCGAGAAGCCUUUACCUAUAUGGGUGAUCAAAGACAAUUUAUGCAGAUUGACCAAAAUGACCUGUAUCCCUAUCUGCUCGUUAAUAUCGGUUCUGGUGUUGGCAUCACUCUAGGUUCUAUAUCCUUAUGAGUAUAGGUAGAAGGAGACGGAAAGUUUGAGCGAGUUAGUGGAACGAGUAUAGGUGGAGGCACUUUCUGGGGUUUAGGAAAGCUUUUAACUAAUUGCAAGAGUUUCGAUGAGUUACUGAAAUUAAGUUAUCAGGGCAACAACAGAGCAGUAGAUAUGCUCGUCGGUGAUAUUUAUGGUGGAAUGGACUAUUCAAAGAUUGGUCUUUCAUCAACGGCAAUAGCGUCUAGUUUUGGAAAGGCAAUGUCUGAUAAUAAGGACCGUGAAGAUUAUAAACCCGAAGAUAUUGCUCGUUCUCUUCUAAGAAUGAUCUCAAAUAAUAUUGGACAG
Molecule: long non-coding RNA, 602 nt
Organism: Vicia villosa (hairy vetch)
Lineage: Eukaryota; Viridiplantae; Streptophyta; Magnoliopsida; Fabales; Fabaceae
Exons: 5
Source: RefSeq, a predicted model, not a curated record